RNAcentral lists this ribosomal RNA (113 nucleotides) under Pteropus alecto (black flying fox). The record is from RNAcentral. Lineage: Eukaryota; Metazoa; Chordata; Mammalia; Chiroptera; Pteropodidae.
GUCUACAGCCAUGCUACCCUGAACACAGCCGUCUGAUCUCGGAAGCUAAGCAGGGUGGGGUCUGGUUAGUACUUGGAUGGGAGACCAUCUAGGAAGACUGGGUGCUGUAGGUG